AUCAUGGGGUAAAGGACUGUCCAAAUCUUCCCCGUCAGAAAAAGGUGGGACCAAUCACGAGUGAACGUUCAAGGGAUUAUUGACUCAGGAGCCUCCCUUUCAUACUUGGAUGUGAAUUUCUGUAACAUAAAUAAAAUACCCCUUCUCAAGAAA
Molecule: long non-coding RNA, 153 nt
Organism: Bombina bombina (fire-bellied toad)
Lineage: Eukaryota; Metazoa; Chordata; Amphibia; Anura; Bombinatoridae
Exons: 2
Source: RefSeq, a predicted model, not a curated record